AAGUCGUAACAAGGUUUCCGUAGGUGAACCUGCGGAAGGAUCAUUAUUACGAAAUCAAAAAUCGUAACCCCAAACAACAAAUUGUGCAUACUUUACUGUUCCGGUAGUUUCAUUUGACCUUUGUAAAGGCUUUCUUUGAUGUGCCUACAAACACAGUCAAAGCACUUCUGAGCAGAUGAAGUGAACGGGUCUUUUUUGUCAGAUGAUUACAAACUACCGGUUAGUAUUAUCUGCUCACACUACUUAACAAACCAUUAACCCCAUGUAACUAUUUUGAACUAAAUACAUCUGACACAUGCAUCUCAUGUAUGUGUCUGAAUCAAAACCGAACUUAAGAACAACUCUUAACAACGGAUAUCUUGGUUCUC
Molecule: unclassified non-coding RNA, 368 nt
Filed under: fungal sp.
Lineage: Eukaryota; Fungi
Description: partial internal transcribed spacer region
Rfam family: Eukaryotic small subunit ribosomal RNA (bases 1-46)
Source: RNAcentral